Molecule: ribosomal RNA, 533 nt
Filed under: uncultured bacterium
Lineage: Bacteria
Description: bacterial SSU rRNA
Rfam family: Bacterial small subunit ribosomal RNA
Source: RNAcentral
GACGAACGCUGGCGGCGUGGAUUAGGCAUGCAAGUCGAACGGUAUGGACCUUUCGGGGUUCAGAGAGUGGCGAACGGGUGAGUAACACGUAGGUAAUCUACCCUCAAGACGGGGACAACCCAGGGAAACUUGGGCUAAUACCGGAUGUGUGUAGUGGCUAUUUUUCUGAUUAUCAUUAUUUACGUAAGUGAGUAAUAAUAAGAAGGGAAAGUGGUUAUUACAUAAAAGGUGGCGUAAGCUGCCGCUUGGGGAUGAGCCUGCGUCCUAUUAGUUAGUUGGUGAGGUAACGGCUUACCAAGGCGAUGAUAGGUAGGCGGCCUUAACGGGUGGUCGCCCACACUGGGAUUGAGAUACGGCCCAGACUCCUACGGGAGGCAGCAGUCGAGAAUAGUCUACAAUGGACGGAAGUCUGAUAGUGCGACGCCGCGUGAACGAAGAAUCCCUUCGGGGUGUAAAGUUCUUUUAUACGUGAGCAGUGUCCUUUAUAUUAAUAGUAUAAGGGGAGAGAUAUUAGCGUAUGAAUAAGCUAACGG